CCAGGGCCGUCCUUCCGCUUUAAAUCUUGCGUGGUUGCUAGGGGCGCUCCGAGCCCUAGGCAUGUGGGGAGAUUCUUCCCUUGGAGAAGGUGUGAACCAGCCCCAAGAUUGGCAAUUGGGAGAACUUCUCCGGAGGAGUUGAUAGGCUCCUUGUACAAUAAUCCCCGCCGGAGUAAAUUGGUCCGGUUUUUCUCCACGCCCUCCACCAGCCCCGCCUUUCGCGGGAUUCCCCGCGCUUCCGGCUCUGGCUCAGUCUUCCAGGCGCUGCGCCGAGAGCUCCGGGACUCGCCGUGGGCGGUGACGGGGUGCGCUGCGAUGGGAACGAGCGGGCGCCUUGGGCGAGUCCGUUUGCCUCAGCCCACCCUACCGUGGUUCGUUUCAGAAAAGUUUGGUGGGCUUCAGUCAGUGGGAAAAGACUCCAAGUUUCCUCCUGGUCAAGCCUUUAGGCUUGGACUGAAACAUCAGCUCUUCUUGGAUCUCGAACCCGCCAACUUUCAGACUGGAAAUCACGCCAUUGGCUUUCCUUGUUCUCAGGCCGUUGGCUUCAGACUGGGAACUACACAUCAGCUCUCCUGGGUCUCCAGCUUGAUGACUGCAGGUCUUGGGACUUCUUGGCCUCCAUACUCAUAUCCCGGGCUAAUACAGAUCUUGACACCAGCCGUGGAAUGUAGCUGUAACAAAUAACUAAAAAUGUGGAAGCUUCUUUGGAACUGGAUAAUGAGUGGAGUUGGAAAAGUUUUAAAGUGCAUGCUACAAAUAUGGACAUUAAGGACAAUUCUGGUGAGACGUCAGAUGGAAAUGAGGAGGACGUUAAUGGAAAUUGUGGGAAAAGUGACCCUUGUUAUAAAGUGGUGAAUAACUUGGCUGAACUGUGUUCUGUUUUGUGCAAGGUAGAAUUUGUGAGUGAUGAAAUUGGAUAUUUAGCUGAGGAGAUUUCUAAGCAAAGUAUUGAAGGAGGGGCUUCGUUCCUCCUGAUUGCUUAUAGUAAAAUGUGAAAGGAGAGAGAUGAAGAAGGAAUUGUUAAGCAAAAAGGAACCAGAACUUGAUGAUUUAGAGAUUUCUCAGCCUAUCCAUAUUGAAAAACAUGAGAAAGCAUGUUCUAAAGAAAAUACCAAUGGCACAACUUGAUUAUCACUUGAUAAAGAGUUUAUGGGAUUAUAUGAGCAGAAAUGCAGCCAAUUUGAACUGAAGGGGAUGAAGAUGGGACCAAACAAAGGAAGGCUGUUGGGCUUAUUGAAUUUGACAAGACAGAAUGAUAGAGCUAUUCAGCUGCACACAUGCACUAUUCUGCAAGAAUAGGGGAAAAUGAUGCCGACAGUGAUUUAGAGAUCAUCAGGGCCACUACACUACCUCAGUUUCAACAGCCUUUGGUGGGGGACUACCCAACAGGACCUUGGGGGUGAUGCUGCCACCUACUGGACCUGGAGGGCAGAGCAUUGAACCAAGUAGGAUUAUUUUAAAGCCUUAAAAUCUGAUGGACUUUGCCUUGCUAAAUUUUGAGCUUGCUUGGGACCAUCACCCCUUUCUUCUCCCUUUUGUAAUGAGAAUGUCUAUCCUAUUACUGUCCCACUAUUGUAUUUUGAAAGUAUAUAACUUGUCUGAUUUCACAAAUUCACAGCUGGAGAGGAAUUUUGCCUCAGGAUGAAUCAAUCAUACCUCCAGUCUCACUCUAUCUGAUUUAGAUGAUAUUCAAAUGAGACUUUAGAUGCUGGAAUAAAUUAAGAGCUUUGGAGAUUUGGGGAUGAAAUGAAUGUAUUUUGUGUGCAAUAAUGAUGUGAAUUUUAGGGGCCACAGGUGGAAUGUUAUAGACUGAAUGUGUCCCCCUCCAAAUUCAUACAUUGAAGCCCUAAUCCCCAAUAUGAUGACAAAGAGGCACCAGAGAGCUCUCUUUCUCUGCCCUGUAAGGAGACAGUGAGAAGGUAGCUGUCUGCAAGUCGGGAAGAGAGCUUUCACCAGAUCCUGAUUAUGCUGGCAUCUUGAUCUCGGACUUCUGGCCUCUAGAACUGUGAGAAAAUAAAUUUCUGUUGUUUAAGCCA
Molecule: long non-coding RNA, 2036 nt
Organism: Prionailurus viverrinus (fishing cat)
Lineage: Eukaryota; Metazoa; Chordata; Mammalia; Carnivora; Felidae
Exons: 3
Source: RefSeq, a predicted model, not a curated record